CCUACGGGCGGCUGCAGUGGGGAAUAUUGGACAAUGGGGGGAACCCUGAUCCAGCCAUGCCGCGUGUGUGAAGAAGGCCCUCGGGUUGUAAAGCACUUUCAGUGAGGAAGAACGCCUGGUGGUUAAUACCCAUCAGGAAAGACAUCACUCACAGAAGAAGCACCGGCUAACUCCGUGCCAGCAGCCGCGGUAAUACGGAGGGUGCGAGCGUUAAUCGGAAUUACUGGGCGUAAAGCGCGCGUAGGUGGCUUGAUAAGCCGGUUGUGAAAGCCCCGGGCUCAACCUGGGAACGGCAUCCGGACCUGUCAAGCUAGAGUGCAGGAGAGGAAGGUAGAAUUCCCGGUGUAGCGGUGAAAUGCGUAGAGAUCGGGAGGAAUACCAGUGGCGAAGGCGGCCUUCUGGACUGACACUGACACUGAGGUGCGAAAGCGUGGGUAGCAAACAGGAUUAGAUACCCGAGUAGUC
Molecule: ribosomal RNA, 465 nt
Filed under: Vreelandella stevensii
Lineage: Bacteria; Pseudomonadati; Pseudomonadota; Gammaproteobacteria; Oceanospirillales; Halomonadaceae
Description: partial 16S ribosomal RNA
Rfam family: Bacterial small subunit ribosomal RNA
Source: RNAcentral